GGAGAGGUAUCGAAGUGGUCAUAACGGGGCUGACUCGAAAUCAGUUUGCGGGUUAAACCGCACAAGGGUUCGAAUCCCUUCCUCUCCG
Molecule: transfer RNA, 88 nt
Filed under: Candidatus Apopatosoma intestinale
Lineage: Bacteria; Bacillati; Bacillota; Clostridia; Eubacteriales
Description: Ruminococcus sp. CAG:724 tRNA
Rfam family: tRNA
About the family: Transfer RNA (tRNA) molecules are approximately 80 nucleotides in length.
Source: Rfam by way of RNAcentral